RNAcentral lists this transfer RNA (87 nucleotides) under Asterophora parasitica. RNAcentral describes it as "tRNA-Pro". It matches the Rfam family "tRNA". From Rfam's summary of the family: Transfer RNA (tRNA) molecules are approximately 80 nucleotides in length. The record is from RNAcentral. Lineage: Eukaryota; Fungi; Basidiomycota; Agaricomycetes; Agaricales; Lyophyllaceae.
GGCCUGAUGGUCUAGUAGUAUGAUUCCUUGUUAGGGCGCGUCAAGCGUGUUUCGAGGAGGUCCUGGGUUCAAUUCCCAGUCAGGCCC